Acanthosepion pharaonis is the source of this 109-nucleotide non-coding RNA. Lineage: Eukaryota; Metazoa; Mollusca; Cephalopoda; Sepiida; Sepiidae. The record is from the annotation of a GenBank genome assembly.
GGCAACAUCAUGCUGAAACACUGGUUCUCAUACAAUCACCAAAGUUAAGCAUUAUUGAGCUUGGUCAGUACGUAAAUGGGUGACUACAUGAGAAUACCAGGUACUGUAA